AAAAAAUAUUGACUGACCUUGGAUUUUUCUUUGGAAUAUGUAUUUGGAUGGCCCUCCUUUUUGGGUAAUCUUUUGAGCACAUGUAUGAUUGUUGUUUUUUUUUAUUUUUUGUUGUAAUGUUUUACUUUUUUUGUUAUAAAACAGAUAGAUAUUUGGUUUAUAGAUUUAUUUUUUAUGUGUUACUAUUAUUAAUUUUUUUUGGAUGCUUUUUGAUUUAGGUUAGGUUGAAAUUGGAAAAGAAAGUAAUUUAAUUUUUAAGGUUUUUGUGAAUUUAAUAA
RNAcentral lists this ribosomal RNA (278 nucleotides) under Cercopithifilaria grassii. RNAcentral describes it as "partial 12S ribosomal RNA". The record is from RNAcentral. Lineage: Eukaryota; Metazoa; Nematoda; Chromadorea; Rhabditida; Onchocercidae.